RNAcentral lists this ribosomal RNA (413 nucleotides) under uncultured bacterium. Its description in RNAcentral is "bacterial SSU rRNA". It matches the Rfam family "Bacterial small subunit ribosomal RNA", at positions 28 to 432 of the family's 1533-position model. The record is from RNAcentral.
GAUGAACGCUGGCGGCGUGCCUAACACAUGCAAGUCGAACGGACUUACAUUGAAGCCUAGCGAUAUGUAAGUUAGUGGCGGACGGGUGAGUAACGCGUGGGUAACCUGCCUUGUACUGGGGGACAACAGUUGGAAACGACUGCUAAUACCGCAUAAGCGCACAGCUUCGCAUGAAGCAGUGUGAAAAACUCCGGUGGUACAAGAUGGACCCGNGUCUGAUUAGCUGGUUGGUGAGGUAACGGCCCACCAAGGCGACGAUCAGUAGCCGGCCUGAGAGGGUGAACGGCCACAUUGGGACUGAGACACGGCCCAAACUCCUACGGGAGGCAGCAGUGGGGAAUAUUGCACAAUGGGGGAAACCCUGAUGCAGCGACGCCGCGUGAGUGACGUAGAAGUUUACGUUACGUGUAAGU